This 253-nucleotide ribosomal RNA is filed under the name uncultured bacterium. Its description in RNAcentral is "partial 16S ribosomal RNA". It matches the Rfam family "Bacterial small subunit ribosomal RNA", at positions 524 to 776 of the family's 1533-position model. The record is from RNAcentral.
UACGAAGGGUGCAAGCGUUACUCGGAAUUACUGGGCGUAAAGCGUGCGUAGGUGGUGAGUUAAGUCUGUCGUGAAAGCCCCGGGCUCAACCUGGGAAUGGCGAUGGAUACUGGCUCGCUAGAGUGCGGUAGAGGAGAGUGGAAUUCCCGGUGUAGCAGUGAAAUGCGUAGAUAUCUGGAGGAACACCGGUGGCGAAGGCGGCAUCCUGGACCGGUAUUGACGCUGAGGAGCGAAAGCCAGGGGAGCAAACGGG